GGGCGGGUAGCUCAGCCGGCUAGAGCGUCUGGUUUACACCCAGAAGGUCGUGGGUUCAAGUCCCUCCCCGCCCACCA
This 77-nucleotide transfer RNA is filed under the name Acidobacteriota bacterium. RNAcentral describes it as "tRNA-Val". It matches the Rfam family "tRNA". Rfam says of the family: Transfer RNA (tRNA) molecules are approximately 80 nucleotides in length. Their secondary structure includes four short double-helical elements and three loops (D, anti-codon, and T loops). Lineage: Bacteria; Pseudomonadati; Acidobacteriota. The record is from RNAcentral. RNAcentral also lists the same sequence under 2 other names.